RNAcentral lists this transfer RNA (104 nucleotides) under Lentinus tigrinus ALCF2SS1-6. RNAcentral describes it as "tRNA-Asp". It matches the Rfam family "tRNA". Rfam says of the family: Transfer RNA (tRNA) molecules are approximately 80 nucleotides in length. Their secondary structure includes four short double-helical elements and three loops (D, anti-codon, and T loops). The record is from RNAcentral. Lineage: Eukaryota; Fungi; Basidiomycota; Agaricomycetes; Polyporales; Polyporaceae.
UCUCUGUUAGUAUAUCGGUUAGUACACGCGCCUGUCACUGCUAGGCCAUUAGGCCUUCAGUUGGUGGGACGCGCGAAAGCGGGGUUCGACUCCCCGACAGAGAG